RNAcentral lists this ribosomal RNA (1363 nucleotides) under uncultured bacterium. RNAcentral describes it as "bacterial SSU rRNA". It matches the Rfam family "Bacterial small subunit ribosomal RNA", at positions 28 to 1380 of the family's 1533-position model. The record is from RNAcentral.
AUUGAACGCUGGCGGCAGGCUUAACACAUGCUAGUCGAGCGGUAGCACAGGAGAGCUUGCUCUCUGGGUGACGAGCGGCGGACGGGUGAGUAAUGUCUGGGAAACUGCCUGAUGGAGGGGGAUAACUACUGGAAACGGUAGCUAAUACCUCAUAACGUCGCAAGACCAAAGAGGGGGACCUUCGGGCCUCUUGCCAUCAUAUGUGCCCAGAUGGGAUUAGCUAGUAGGUGGGGUAAUGGCUCACCUAGGCGACGAUCCCUAGCUGGUCUGAGAGGAUGACCACCCACUCUGGAACUGAGACACGGUCCAGACUCCUACGGGAGGCAGCAGUGGGGAAUAUUGCACAAUGGGCGCAAGCCUGAUGCAGCCAUGCCGCGUGUGUGAAUAAGGCCUUCGGGUUGUAAAGCACUUUCAUCGAGGAGGAAGGUGGUGAACUUAAUACCUUCAUCAUUUGACGUUACUCGCAGAAUAAGCACCGGCUAACUCCGUGCCAGCAUCCGCGGUAAUACGGAGGGUGCAAGCGUUAAUCCGAAUUACUGGGGCGUAAAGCGCACGCAGGCGGUUUGUUAAGUCAGAUGUGAAAUCCCCGGGCUCAACCUGGGAACUGCAUUUGAAACUGGCAAGCUAGAGUCUCGUAGAGGGGGGUAGAAUUCCAGGUGUAGCGGUGAAAUGCGUAGAGAUCUGGAGGAAUACCGGUGGCGAAGGCGGCCCCCUGGACGAAGACUGACGCUCAGGUGCGAAAGCGUGGGGAGCAAACAGGAUUAGAUACCCUGGUAGUCCACGCUGUAAACGAUGUCGAUUUGGAGGUUGUGCCCUUGAGGCGUGGCUUCCGGAGCUAACGCGUUAAAUCGACCGCCUGGGGAGUACGGCCGCAAGGUUAAAACUCAAAUGAAUUGACGGGGGCCCGCACAAGCGGUGGAGCAUGUGGUUUAAUUCGAUGCAACGCGAAGAACCUUACCUACUCUUGACAUCCAGAGAACUUUCCAGAGAUGGAUUGGUGCCUUCGGGAACUCUGAGACAGGUGCUGCAUGGCUGUCGUCAGCUCGUGUUGUGAAAUGUUGGGUUAAGUCCCGCAACGAGCGCAACCCUUAUCCUUUGUUGCCAGCGGUUCGGCCGGGAACUCAAAGGAGACUGCCAGUGAUAAACUGGAGGAAGGUGGGGAUGACGUCAAGUCAUCAUGGCCCUUACGAGUAGGGCUACACACGUGCUACAAUGGCAUAUACAAAGAGAAGCGACCUCGCGAGAGCAAGCGGACCUCAUAAAGUAUGUCGUAGUCCGGAUUGGAGUCUGCAACUCGACUCCAUGAAGUCGGAAUCGCUAGUAAUCGUGGAUCAGAAUGAUACGGUGAAUACGUUCCCGGUCC